GGCGGCGUGCCUAACACAUGCAAGUCGAACGAGAAAGUUGGCUUCGGCCGAUGAGUAAAGUGGCGCACGGGUGAGUAACGCGUGGAUAAUCUGCCCUUUAGUUUGGAAUAACGUACCGAAAGGUGCGCUAAUACCGGAUAAUACUGAAUGACUACUGUCGUUUAGUCAAAGAAGGCUUCUGUUUACAUGCUUUUGCUGAAGGAUGAGUCCGCGUACCAUUAGCUAGUUGGUAGGGUAAUGGCCUACCAAGGCGACGAUGGUUAGCUGGUCUGAGAGGAUGAUCAGCCACACUGGAACUGAGACACGGUCCAGACUCCUACGGGAGGCAGCAGUGAGGAAUAUUGCGCAAUGGGGGCAACCCUGACGCAGCAACGCCGCGUGAGUGAGGAAGGUUUUCGGACUGUAAAGCUCUGUCGAGCGGGAAGAAGUGUACCAUGGCUAAUAUCCAUGAUAUUUGACGGUACCGCUAGAGGAAGCACCGGCUAACUCCGUG
This 493-nucleotide ribosomal RNA is filed under the name uncultured bacterium. Its description in RNAcentral is "bacterial SSU rRNA". It matches the Rfam family "Bacterial small subunit ribosomal RNA", at positions 38 to 507 of the family's 1533-position model. The record is from RNAcentral.